This 270-nucleotide unclassified non-coding RNA is filed under the name uncultured fungus. RNAcentral's name for it is "sequence contains ITS1". Lineage: Eukaryota; Fungi. The record is from RNAcentral.
UAUAGGUUUAUAGGCACAAAGGCCCAUUGAUUACAUUCUAUGACAUACAUUGGGGUAUAUAAAGAAACAUAGGCCUGGAAAUGCAAGGAGAGACAUAAAGUCAAUCCUCAAACCUGAGUGGCGAGCAUUCAGAGAGAUAUAUCCAGGUCUACAAAAGGUGCACAGGUGGAGAUAUAAAGAUGACAAGCGUGCACAUGCUCCCUAGAGAACCAGCAGCAACUCAUCAGGUUUAUUUCAAUAAUGAUCCUUCCGCAGGUUCACCUACGGAAA